RNAcentral lists this ribosomal RNA (742 nucleotides) under Trentepohliaceae sp. Kukwa 19255. RNAcentral describes it as "SSU rRNA". It matches the Rfam family "Eukaryotic small subunit ribosomal RNA", at positions 290 to 1041 of the family's 1831-position model. The record is from RNAcentral. Lineage: Eukaryota; Viridiplantae; Chlorophyta; Ulvophyceae; Trentepohliales; Trentepohliaceae.
AUGUUUCAUUCAAAUUUCUGCCCUAUCAACUUUCGACGGUAGGGUAGUGGCCUACCGUGGUGGUAACGGGUGACGGAGGAUUAGGGUUCGAUUCCGGAGAGGGAGCCUGAGAAACGGCUACCACAUCCAAGGAAGGCAGCAGGCGCGCAAAUUACCCAAAUCCCAACUCGGGGAGGUAGUGACAAGAAAUAACGAUGCUCCGGCCAUCGGUCGGGUAAUCGGAAUGAGAACAAUUUAAAUCCCUUAUCGAGGAUCAAUUGGAGGGCAAGUCUGGUGCCAGCAGCCGCGGUAAUUCCAGCUCCAAUAGCGUAUAUUUAAGUUGCUGCGGUUAAAAAGCUCGUAGUCGGAUUUCGGGUGGCGCCUACCGGUCCGCCUUUGGUGAGUACUGGUAGGUACCACCUUUCUGCCGAGGACGGGGUACUGGGCUUAGUUGUCUGGGCCUCGGAGUCGGCGAUGUCACUUUGAGUAAAUUAGGGUGUUCAAAGCAGGCUUAUGCUCUGUAUACACUAGCAUGGGAUGACACGAUAGGACUUCGGUUUAUCUUGUCGGUCUGUAGAUCGGAGUAAUGAUUAAGAGGGACAGUCGGGGGCAUUCGUAUUUCGUAGUCAGAGGUGAAAUUCUUGGAUUUACGGAAGACGAACUUCUGCGAAAGCAUUUGCCAAGGAUGUUUUCAUUGAUCAAGAACGAAAGUCGGGGGCUCGAAGACGAUUAGAUACCGUCGUAGUCUCGACCAUAAACGAUG